Molecule: ribosomal RNA, 298 nt
Filed under: uncultured bacterium
Lineage: Bacteria
Description: partial 16S ribosomal RNA
Rfam family: Bacterial small subunit ribosomal RNA
Source: RNAcentral
CUAUGCGCCUUGCCAGCCCGCUCAGGUGUGCCAGCAGCCGCGGUAAUACGGAGGAUGCGAGCGUUAUCCGGAUUUAUUGGGUUUAAAGGGUGCGUAGGCGGGCUGUUAAGUCAGCGGUCAAAUGUCGGGGCUCAACCCCGGCCUGCCGUUGAAACUGGUGGCCUCGAGUGGGCGAGAAGUAUGCGGAAUGCGUGGUGUAGCGGUGAAAUGCAUAGAUAUCACGCAGAACCCCGAUUGCGAAGGCAGCCUUCCGGCGCCCUACUGACGCUGAGGCACGAAAGUGCGGGGAUCGAACAGG